UCCUUGGUGGCUCAGAUGGUAAAGCAUCUGCCUACAAUGCAGGAGACCUGGGUUCAAUCCCUGGGUUGGGAA
This 72-nucleotide transfer RNA is filed under the name Ovis aries (sheep). It matches the Rfam family "tRNA". From Rfam's summary of the family: Transfer RNA (tRNA) molecules are approximately 80 nucleotides in length. Their secondary structure includes four short double-helical elements and three loops (D, anti-codon, and T loops). Further hydrogen bonds mediate the characteristic L-shaped molecular structure. tRNAs have two regions of fundamental functional importance: the anti-codon, which is responsible for specific mRNA codon recognition, and the 3' end, to which the tRNAs corresponding amino acid is attached (by aminoacyl-tRNA synthetases). tRNAs cope with the degeneracy of the genetic code in two manners: having more than one tRNA (with a specific anti-codon) for a particular amino acid; and 'wobble' base-pairing, i.e. permitting non-standard base-pairing at the 3rd anti-codon position. Lineage: Eukaryota; Metazoa; Chordata; Mammalia; Artiodactyla; Bovidae. The record is from Rfam by way of RNAcentral.